RNAcentral lists this long non-coding RNA (785 nucleotides) under Homo sapiens (human). RNAcentral's name for it is "PGCKA1 antisense RNA 1 (PGCKA1-AS1)". Lineage: Eukaryota; Metazoa; Chordata; Mammalia; Primates; Hominidae. The record is from RNAcentral.
AAUAGGCAAGAUGUUAUCUGUUAAUAGACUAAAGAACAGAGAAGUGAUUUCUGUGACUAUAGAGCAAUUUAAAGGAAGAGCUGAGAUUAAACAGUCCCACAUCUGCUUCACUGCUUUGGCCUGCAUGAACUCUCUAAAAUAGAGAUCUGCUGUGCUUAAGAUCCUUCAAUGGUUUCUCCCAAGAUAUUGGGAUCUCUGAAGACAAGGACUGUGUCCCCAGAAACUCAUCGACUCUCUGGUGUCUCUGGGUCUACGCACAUGAUGUCUCCAAGGCCAGGUAUCAUUAUUUAUCUAAAUCUCCGGAGCCAUUGAGGACCAAGAUCAUACUUGCUGAAUAAAUGCACGGAGCAGGAUCAGAGGAUAGACACAGAAUGGGCCAAGAAGAGAAAUAUUAUUCCUCAUAAGAGCUUGCUUGAUUGCAACCACCAAGGACAUCCACAAACCAGGGCAAGAAGGACCAUCCGUAAUUCUUUCCCAUAAAUAGUGACAGGAAGAAAAUAAACGCCCUAUUCUUCAAUGAUUUGAACCACCUCUGGAGCACAAACUUUCUCUAAAUUCACAGGGCAAAUAUCCAUCAUGGGGCAGGUAUCUAUGCUGCCAUGGAAAGUAACAUAAAAUGUACUAAGUCAUCACAGGGAGUUUUAAUUUUGUUUUUAAGGUCAAUUGCCAUGCUGGGGUAAAAAGCAUUGAUCCUUGCCUUUUAUCACCGGAAAAAUUCUUCACCAGUACUUUGUGAAAAUCUCGCCUCAUCAGGGCUGCCAAGGUCAAUGCAACCUAAGUAACCA